Long non-coding RNA from Carcharodon carcharias (great white shark), 3310 nucleotides. RefSeq lists it as uncharacterized. The record is from RefSeq and is a predicted model, not a curated record. The transcript is spliced from 2 exons. Lineage: Eukaryota; Metazoa; Chordata; Chondrichthyes; Lamniformes; Lamnidae.
CGCAGUGUGGCUCCUGGAAGCUCAGCCGGGGGUGACCGAGUUUCAGCGGCUCUCAGAGCCCGAAUCGGAGCCGCCAGGAUCGGCAGACGUGCAGCGAGGGACCUGGGCGGGCGGCACCAUGAAGCCGAUGGUUGUUGCAGACUGAAGGGUAGAAGGGGAGCAUCUGCAGACAGAACACUCAUUCCUCGGAACCUGAAUAUGAUAGGUCUUUGAAAGUGGAAUGAGAAAUAUUUGUCUGAUCUCUCUGUGGGAAAAGAUUUCAUACUUCAGUGUGACUGGAAAAGCACCGAGACACACACACCUCCCCCGAGUGAGAGUGUUCCAGUGCACUGACUGUGGAAGUAGCUUUAACCAGUUGUACAGCUUGAAAAAGGAUCACACAAUUCACAGUGGGGAGAAACCAUACACACGUGUGCAUGGACAAGGCUUCAUUUGAAUGUCCGACCUGGAGAGACACAAGGGCUCCUGCACUGUGGAGAAACCGUGGAAAUGUGGGGACUGUGGGAAGGGAUUCAGAUCUCCAUCCCUACUGGAAACUCAUCGACGCAGUCACACUGGGGAGAGAUCGUUCAUCUGCUCCGAGUGUGGGAAGGGAUUCACUCACUCAUCUGCCCUGCUGAAACACCAGCGAAGUCACACUCUGGACCGGCCUUACACCUGUUCCCUGUGUCAGAAAGGAUUCACAACGACAUCCAAUCUAUCCGCACACCAGCGAGUUCACACUGGGGAGAGGCCGUUCAUCUGCUCCGUGUGUCAGAAAGGUUUCAAAACUACAUCCAACCUAUUGACACACCAGCGAGUUCACACUGGGGAGAGGUCGUUCAUCUGCUCCGUGUGUCAGAAAGGUUUCAAAACUACAUCCAACCUAUUGACACACCAGCGAGUUCACACUGGGGAGAGGCCAUUCUUCUGCUCCAGGUGUGGGAAGGGAUUCACUCAGUCAUCCCAGCUCACUGAACAUCAACUUGUUCACACUGAGCAGAGACCGUUUCAGUGCCCUGUGUGUAAGAAGAGCUUUAAAAGCACAAAGCAGCUGCUGGAACACCAACACACUCACAGUGGGGAGAGGCCAUUCCCCCGCUCCGUGUGUGGGAAAGCAUUUCCUCGAUUAUUCCAUCUGCAGCAACACCAAGUAGUUCACACUGAGCAGAAGCCUUUUCAAUGACCUGACUGUGAGAAGAGCUUUAAAAGCAGCAAUGAUCUGCGGAAGCACCAACGCACUCACUCUGGAGAGAGGCCGUUCACCUGCUCUGUGUGUGAGAAGACAUUUAAUUGUUCAUCCAACCUAUUGACACACCAGCGAAUUCACACUGGGGAGAGGCCAUUCAUCUGCUCUGCGUGUGGGAAAGGAUUCACUCGGCCAUCCAACCUCACUGAACAUCAACUAGUUACACUGAGCAGAGACCUUUUCAAUGUCCGGACUGAGAAGAGCUUUAAAAGCAGCAGUGAUCUGCGGAAGCACCAACUCACUCACUCUGGGCAGAGGCCAUUCACCUGCUCUGUGUGUGAGAAGACAUUUAAUUGUUCAUCCAACCUAUUGACACACCAGCGAAUUCACACUGGGGAGAGGCCAUUCAUCUGCUCUGUGUGUGGGAAAGGAUUCACUCGGCCAUCCAACUUCACUGAACAUCAACUAGUUACACUGAGCAGAGACCUUUUCAAUGUCCGGACUGAGAAGAGCUUUAAAAGCAGCAAUGAUCUGUGGAAGCACCAACUCACUCACUCUGGGCAGAGGCUGUUCCCCUGCUGUGUGUGUGGGAAGGGAUUCACUCAGUCAUCCAAUCUGCUGCAACAUCAGCGAGUUCACAUGUGACUGCAGGGGUUGGAUUCUGCUGUCAAUGCUGCUGUUAAUCACAUCCAGGACUGAACCAUGUUCAUUCUGACAGUCAGAGUUUAAAUUGUCCUGUUGUUAAUAACCCCUAUAACUGGCCUGGAGUUUAAUAUUUUGAGAUUGAUUCAAUAAUUAAUCCAGUUUUAAAUACAUUAUGUUGGGUCCUUAAUUUCUCCAAGUUAAGUGGAGACUAAUUGAUGUCCUGUUACUGACUGUUCUAUAUUUGGGUCUUUCCCCCUUUAUAACUAUAUAUAUAAUUUCAGUUAUCAUCCCUUCAAUUACUUUCAGGGACAAGUCUCAGCUUCCCGUACCUUCCAGAGUGCCUGUCCUAGCCUUGGUAUUCAGGAAAUGUAUCAGUAACAUUCCCGGGAGCACUAAACACAAAAUCCAGUCUGUUAAUCACUUUCAGCUACUGGACAUAGUGUGUGCCCUACAGCAUCUCUCUCACCUUCGAUGUGUGAAUAAAGCAUCACACCUAUAAACCUGGUUUCAAUUUAAAUUCACUCAGGGAAUGUAUUUAACAAGAACCUUUCAGUCGAUGAGACUCUGAAGCUACCGCCAUUAUAAAUCUGUAGCAAUUUAUUUCAAUCAUUUCAUGUUUAAUAUUGAAUUGGGAUUUAUUUUGUGGCAAUCUUUAGAUGUCUGGGUUAAUCAGUAUUUCUGUUGCAAAUAAUUCAGCCUUUUCCGAACACUCGGAAUAAGGUGAUGGUGGUAUCACAAAAAGAGAUCAAUGGAGCUUGAAGUCAGCACCUGACUCACACCAGGUUGAGUCUGAUUUCCUUCCACUCUGAUUAAUGUGUUCUUAAUUGCCAUCAGCUUCACGGACCCAGAUUGGAAAUGACUGGAGGCAUUACAAACAUAGCAACUUACAAAUUAGGAGCAGGAAUCGGCCAUUCAGCCCCUCCAGCCUGCUUCCCCCAUGCAAUAAGAUUAUGGCUGAUGUUAUUCUGGCCUCAACUCCCACUUUCCUCCCUGCCUCCUAUACCCUUUAACUCAUUUUUCAAUCAAGAAUCUAUCUAACUUUGCCUUAAAAUAUUCAAUGGCUUUGCCUCCAGCUUAACUCCAGGGAGAGACAGAGAAAGGCAUCUAAAAACAGGACAGGUCUGCUGUAAAAUAACCUGGCAUUUAAAAGUGCCAUGCCUUCAGAACAGAAGAACCUUCUCUGCUCCCUUUAAACCUGAUUCCAGCUACUAAGCUCACAUGUUUACGUAACCUCUGGCAAUUCCACUGUGGAAGCCAUUGCAGCUGCCAAGACAAUCCUAUAACUUAAAAAGCUUCAUUUUAGACAGCACAACAUCUCGACUUCAAAAUAUAUCAGGCCUGCACUGAGUAUGGACUAAAAUGAUCCAAUUUUAUAAGUACUGUUCUAUCUUCAUUUGUAUCUAAUCCACAUGUGUAUGUGUUAGCAAAUUUAUCUAUUCUUCAGUAAAUUCCAGAGCAAUAGAGUAAAAUAAACUAAUCAUUUUUUUUAAGGAAAAA